RNAcentral lists this ribosomal RNA (1464 nucleotides) under uncultured bacterium. RNAcentral's name for it is "16S ribosomal RNA". It matches the Rfam family "Bacterial small subunit ribosomal RNA". The record is from RNAcentral.
AGUUUGAUCCCGGCUACGAUGAAUGUUGGCGGCGUGCCUGAGAUAUGCCAGUCCAACGUCUUCCUCCCAAGAUGAGGUAGUGGCGGACGGCUGAGUAACCCGUAGGGACCUGCCCCUAUUUGGAGCAUAGCUCCCCGAAAGCGGGGAUAACCUCCUCCCUAUUCCCUUCGGGGGAAAGAACAUAACUGUUUGAAUAGGGAUGGGCCUGCGGCUUAUCAGGUUGUUGGUAGGGUAACGGCCUACCCAGCCCUAUUACGAGUAGCUGGUCUAAGAGGAUGGACAGCCAGAGGGGGACUGAGACACGGCCCCCCCACUCCUACGGAGGCAGCAAUCAGGAAUAGUCGGCAAUGGACGAAAGUCUGACCGCGCGACGCCGCGUGUAGGAAGAAGCUCUAACGAGUGUAAACUACUGUGGUGAGGGAAGAAGUCCCGACUUAGUCGGGAUUGACGGUACCUCACUAGAAAGGGGCCGCUAACUGCGUGCCAGAAGCGUCGGUAAUACGUGGGCCCCCAAACAUUAUCCGGUUUUACUGGGUGUAAAAAGUAGUGUAGGUGUCCUGGAAAGUUUUUGUUUAAAUACUAAGGCUCAACCUUAGGAAAGGCAGAAAAACUACCGGGAUAGAGUUUUCUUUAGGGAGACUGGAACUUAGGGAGGAGUAGUGAAAUGCGUUGAUACCCUAGGGAACACUAGUGGCGAAGGCGAGUCUCUGAAAGAAAACUGACACUGAGACACGAAAGCUAGGGGAGCGAAGCAGAUUAGAGACCUGCGUAGUCCUAGCUCUAAACGCAUGUCUGCUAGCUGCAUUUUUUCGAUUUAUCGAAGAAGUGUGGCGAAGGUAACCCGUUAAGCAGACCACCUGGGGAGUACGGCCGCAAGGUUGAAACUCAAAGGAAUUGGCGGGGAGGCACACAACCAGUGGAACAUGUGGUUCAAUUCGAAACGAACCGAAGAACCUCACCAGGGUUUGACAUCCAAGCGUCCUAUUUCAUGGAAACAUGGAAAAUUCGCAAGAAGGCUUGGACAGGUGCUGCAUGGCUGUCGUCAGCUCGUUCCGUGAGGAGUGCCCUUAAGUGGGACAACGAGCGCAACCCCCACCUCGAGUUACAAGUGUCUCGAGGAACUGCCCUGCCUUUGGCGGGGAGGAAGGAGGGGCAGACGUCAAGUCAGCAUGGUCCUUAUACCCUGGGCUACACACAUGUUACAAUGGACAAACACAAUGGGCUUUGCGAGACCGCAAGGUUAUGCAAAUCCCUCAAAUUUGUCCUCAGUGGGGAUUGAGGUCUGCAACCCGACCUCAUGAACGCGGAAUUGGUAGUAAUCGCGGAUCAGCUAUGCCGCGGUGAAUACGUUCUUGCCUCUUGCACACACCGCCCGUCAAGCCAACAAAGUCGGGAAAAUUUGAAUGCCGAUUUAUCGGCAGAGGAUUCUUCCGGCGAUGGGGGUUAAGUCGUAACAAGGUAACC